AACCGCAGUCUCCAUAUCUACAUACACCGUCCCCCAAUACUUCUUUCCCUCUAUCCGUCUCUAUUCCAUUUUUUCUCAAAAACCGCUUCGAAGCCUUUUUGUGAUGGUAGUGAGGAGAGAUGUAUAAGCCGUGCCUUGCCUCAUCCCUCGUUUCACUUUCCACUCACACUUCACCCAACCACUUUCUUACCACAGUCUUUUUUUGCCACUUUUCAA
Non-coding RNA from Caenorhabditis elegans, 216 nucleotides. The record is from Ensembl. NCBI's taxonomy places the organism in Eukaryota, Metazoa, Nematoda, Chromadorea, Rhabditida, Rhabditidae.